This 751-nucleotide ribosomal RNA is filed under the name uncultured euryarchaeote. RNAcentral's name for it is "bacterial SSU rRNA". It matches the Rfam family "Archaeal small subunit ribosomal RNA", at positions 102 to 856 of the family's 1478-position model. The record is from RNAcentral. Lineage: Archaea; Methanobacteriati; Methanobacteriota.
AGGUAACCUACCCUUCGGACGGGCACAACCCCGGGAAACUGGGGCUAAUUCCCGAUAGGUACCCCCUUCUGGAAUGUGGGGAUAUCCAAAGCUCCGGCGCCGAAGGAUGGGCCUGCGGCCGAUUAGGUUGUUGGCGGGGUAACAGCCCACCAAGCCGACGAUCGGUACGGGCAGUGAGAGCUGUAGCCCGGAGAUGGGGACUGAGACAAGGCCCCAGGCCCUACGGGGCGCAGCAGGCGCGAAACCUUCACAAUGCACGAAAGUGUGAUGAGGGUACUCCGAGUGCGCAUACAUUGUAUGUGCUUUUCUGCAGCGUAAAUAGUUGCAGGAAUAAGGGCUGGGCAAGACCGGUGCCAGCCGCCGCGGUAACACCGGCAGCCCUAGUGGUGGCCGCUUUUAUUGGGCCUAAAGCGUCCGUAGCCGGACAGGCGAGUCUUUGGGUAAAUCCUACGUCUUAAGCGUGGGAAUUCUAAAGAUACUACCUGUCUUGAGGCCGGGAGAGGCUGGAGGUACUCCUGGGGUAGGGGUAAAAUCCUAUAAUCCUGGGGGGACCACCGAUGGCGAAGGCAUCCAGCUGGAACGGGCCUGACGGUGAGGGACGAAACCCAGGGGAGCGAGCCGGAUUAGAUACCCGGGUAGUCCUGGGCGUAAAUGAUGUGGGCUUGGUGUGAGCGCAUCGACGAGGUGCGCUUGUGCCGUAGGGAAGCCGUUAAGCCCACCGCCUGGGGAGUACGGUCGCAAGGCUGAAACU